CUAACUAGGGACAACUUCCGUUACCCCUACUAUGUUACGACUUAUCUCAUUUCUCAACGAGAGCGACGGGCGAUGUGUGCACGCUUCAGAGCUAAAUUCAAGAAAUUUAUAUAAUUAUAUCUUUACUUUUAAGUCCUCUUUCAAUUUAAAUUUGCAUUUUUUUUCCAUAAUUAUUACUUUUAAUUGUAACCCAUUCUCACCUUCUUAUGGGCUGCACCUUGAUCUGACGUAAAAGCCUAUGUUAGUUUUAUUGCUAACUUCUAAUAUUUUUGAAAGUUACCUGACGACGACGGUAUACAUACUGAUAAACAAAAGAAGGAAAGGUUUUACGUGGACUAUCGAUUACGAAACAGGUUCCCCUAAGGAGUCUAAAGCACCGCCAAGUUCUUUGAGUUUUAAAAUAUAAUUUUCGUAGUACUCUGGUAGAAUUUUUCUAUUUAUAAUUAGAAAUAAUGGGGUAUCUAAUCCCAGUUUCCCCUCUAAAUUUCACAGCGUCAUAAUAACCGUUAUAUUUGGUAUAAAAAUAUUUAAUUAGAUUCUACCCCUAUAAAAAUUUUCUAAAUGACGAUAAUUAAUAUAUUAACUGCCUUUAUUACCUAUAAUUAACAAUUUGGUCUCUAAGUGUAACCGCGGCUGCUGGCACUUAGUUUACCAGACCUAAAAUGACUAAACUAAAACAUACUUUCGUAUAGACUUAAUUAUUCAACACUGGAGUUAGUGGGGCUUUCAAAACAUCUUAUUAUUAAUAAUAUUUUAAGUAGUAAAAUAUUUUAUAAAAAAAAUUUAAUAAAUAAAUUUACCUACUACCUCACCACCUUCUAUAAAAACCAUGUGUAAUCGCUUGUCAUUACUGUUAUUUUAGACCAAAACCAAAUCUUUUAUCAAAAACUUGUUGUAUUUUUUAAAAAAUUAAUUACWAUAGAUAGAUGUUCUUUAAAA
RNAcentral lists this ribosomal RNA (939 nucleotides) under Leptoxis ampla. RNAcentral describes it as "16S ribosomal RNA". The record is from RNAcentral. Lineage: Eukaryota; Metazoa; Mollusca; Gastropoda; Pleuroceridae.